UCGACGAGACCUUCGGGUCUAGUGGCGCACGGGUGCGUAACGCGUGGGAAUCUGCCCUUGGGUUCGGGAUAACAGUUGGAAACGACUGCUAAUACCGAAUGAUGACUCCGGUCCAAAGAUUUAUCGCCCAGGGAUGAGCCCGCGUCGGAUUAGCUAGUUGGUGAGGUAAAGGCUCACCAAGGCGACGAUCCGUAGCUGGUCUGAGAGGAUGAUCAGCCACACUGGGACUGAGACACGGCCCAGACUCCUACGGGAGGCAGCAGUGGGGAAUAUUGGACAAUGGGCGAAAGCCUGAUCCAGCAAUGCCGCGUGAGUGAUGAAGGCCCUAGGGUUGUAAAGCUCUUUUACCCGGGAUGAUAAUGACAGUACCGGGAGAAUAAGCCCCGGCUAACUCCGUGCCAGCAGCCGCGGUAAUACGGAGGGGGCUAGCGUUGUUCGGAAUUACUGGGCGUAAAGCGCGCGUAGGCGGCUUUGCAAGUUAGAGGUGAAAGCCCGGAGCUUAACUCCGGAACUGCCUUUAAAACUGCAUCGCUAGAAUCAUGGAGAGGUUAGUGGAAUUCCGAGUGUAGAGGUGAAAUUCGCAGAUAUUCGGAAGAACACCAGUGGC
Molecule: ribosomal RNA, 607 nt
Filed under: uncultured bacterium
Lineage: Bacteria
Description: bacterial SSU rRNA
Rfam family: Bacterial small subunit ribosomal RNA
Source: RNAcentral